CUAUAGCUCUGAUUCCACCCCUAGCCUGGAACCUCCAUAUGCUGCGAGUGGGGACCUAAAAAGACAAAAAACAAAACAAAACAAACAGUAAAUAUGAAUAAACAAUGAUAGCAUGGUGGUUCUAAAGACAAAGAAAUAGGGCGUUCCUGUCAUGGCUCAGCAGUAUAUGAACCUGACUAGCAUCCGUGUGGAUGCAGGUUCAAUCCGUGUCCGUGCUCCGUGAGUUAAGGAUCCGGCAUUGCUGUGGCUGUGGUAUAGGCCAGCAGCUGCAGCUCCCAUUCGACCCCUAACUUUGGAACUUCCAUAUGCCUCUAGUGCAGCCCUAAAAACCAAAAAAAAAAAAAAAGAAAAGAAAAAACAGCACACAGAUGUCUCUAAAUUGAUUAUUUAAAACUCAGUAUAAUUAAAAAUAUAGAAACCCAGGGAAGAGAUCGAGCUGCAUAUUCGUGUUGACAUGAAACAAGAACAACCUCCCAGCUUAGUAUUUCCUCUCUAUGCUUAAUUUCUUACCCACCAUGGUGUGUGUACUCACAUACCUACAAGAAUGAUGGUUGACUUUUAUAAUUUCCUACCUCUCAGCAAAUUCCAUGCCAACCCUAGAGCCAAGGCAGGCAGACACAAAACAAACGCAGGUACAAUGUACACACACCAGUUCAAACCAUCAAAAAGUGUCCUGGUAGCAAUCAGAUGGCGAUUUUUCACCUGGUCCUCAGCAGCUGGCCCCAGAGUCUGUGCUUCUAAAUGUGAACACACAGGUUCCCCUCGUCAUGGACAUCAAAGCCCAGCUUCCUCACGGAGACAAGAGAGAUUUCUCAGAGAUUUUGCCUUCCAGCCUUUUGGGAAGCCGAGAGGCUGUUAACCAGAUGGAGAUGGCAAAUGUCACAGGGCUUGCAACUCCUACUUGCGUUUGCAAAACAAAGAAACACAGAUACAAGUUUAUUUCAAUGGAUUGUUUGGGUUAAUUCCCACCCCGGGUCACCUGGCGUCACCCAUCCUUUGAGAAGGAAGAAUUUUAGACUUUGAAUUAAUAGCAAGCAAGGAAGGAGGAGGGAGGCAACCACUGGUGUUGACCCAGGGAGCCAGAAGGAUGACUAACCUUGAGUAAACACGGCCAUCGGUCCAUCUGUGUGCAAAGGCGGAUCCUACCCAGUCCUACCUAUAUCAGAUGCCUCGCAGUCUCAAGCCUAGAGCCUUUAACCUCAUUUUUUUGCUGUUUUCCUUUCCUGUUGACUUGAGGGUAAAAGGCAGUGAAGUGAUUAGAGGGAGGGGUCCCCUCUCCCCCAUAGGAGUCUCCAGGCCUGUCUGGUGUGUUUGUCAGGGUGGAGGCGCCAUGGAGGCGCUUCACGGGAGCCAGUGGUAGCCUUUGCCACUGUCCAGAAUACACUUAAAGAGAAGGCUUUCAGGUAAAGGUUUCUUUUUAAGCUGAUGAGCCCCAGAGACACAGAUAAUUGUUACUGAUAAGACUACGGGGUACGCAGAACAUCUGAAAGCAGGAACCUGAACAUAAGCAUAGUGAGUACUGGACUUGGAAAGGGGCUUGGAGAUGCUGCUUCCUUUUAACAUAUAAUCAGAGGGUGAUUUCAUUUCUGUCCUGCCUGCAAACACUUGUUAUAUAAUAACUGUGAAGGCAACUCGUAGUCACAAAUUCUGAGAGGAAGGUCUAAGUUUCAAUGCAGUGUUCAGUUUGAUCUAUGAUUACAACAAACACCCUUAGCUCUUAGUCUUUGAUGCCCAGAUGGAUGGUAAGAAUUUUCCUUCUCUUUCCCAGUUAAGAACUGGGAAUUAAAUUAAAAGUAAUAGAGUUCCCAGGCUAGGGGUCUAAUUGGAGCUGUAGCCACUGGCCUCCACCAGAGCAACUUGGGAUCCAAGCCGCAUCUGCAACCUACACCAUAGCUCACGGUGACGCUGGAUCCUUAACCCACUGAGCGAGGCCAGGGAUCGAACCCACAACCUCAUGGUUCCUAGUCAGAUUCAUUAACACUGAGCCACGUCAGAAACUCCAAAAUAUUACUAUUUUUGAUAAAAGUCCAAGAUAAUUAGGACAACUAUUUUGUGGUGUUGAUUCUCUUUACUGGUGUUUUUAAGACGUUGUUUGGUCCAUGCUCAAGUUCUUUCAGGUAUUUCUCACAUGGAAGAGUGACUAUCAUAAAAACACCUGUAACUGUGGUGGCAUUGUUUUGGUCCACACAUCACUAACCCCCACUGGGAAAUCUUCAGACUAUCUUAAGACAGUGGUCUGACCCUGUGGUCAGUCCGGGUGCCAAGUCACUGGGAGGAUCUGCCUCCCUAAUACAUUGUCAUUCGCUGAAAGCACAGUUAAGUUGGCAUCACAGUGAGGACAAACCCCCAUUAUGCCAUUUUUCAGUAGCUUUUAAAUAUUGAAUAAACCUGAAUUUCUGCAAUGUAAGGGCCUUUGAGGGAUUUCAAAGCUUUACUAGUCUCCCUGCCUCGCUGGAAUAUAGGUCAAGUUCGUUUAAGUCCUGUUUAGCCAAAGACAGAUUAUAUGGAGACGGAAAAGAAAAAGUUUAACUUUACGAAGACAUGCCGAGGCUCUGGAUAGGGCUGAGAGCCAGUGAAUUUCUCCCGUGGCAUAUUUCGUCUUGCAUUCCCCUCCCUCGCUUGAAUUAUGACCUAACUGGGCCAAGACUGUCCCGGCUUCAGGGACUUCUCAACCAAGAGCAUAUACUGAGUUUGGAAAGUUUGGUUCUCAUUCAAUAAAGUAAGAAGAUUUAAAAACAAAAAGAUCAAUAGUUUUGUUUUUUGUUUUUUUAAAAAAAAAAGAAGAAGAAGAAGAAAGAGUUCCUGUCAUGGCUCAAUGGACACAAAUCUGACCCACAUCCAUGAGGACACAAGUUGGAUCCCUGGCCUUGCUCAGUGGGUUAAGGCUCCAGGGUUCCAUGAGCUGUGGUGUAGGUCACAGACAUGGCCUGGAUCCGGUGUUGCUGUGACUGUGGUGUAGGCCAGCAGCUACAGCUUCGAUUUGACCCCUAGCCUGGGAACUCCCCCCCCACCCCCGUACCCCCAUAUGCCUCGGGUAUGGCUCUAAAAGAGACCAAAAAAAAAAAAAAAAA
This 3071-nucleotide long non-coding RNA is filed under the name Sus scrofa (pig). RNAcentral's name for it is "lncRNA (ENSSSCG00030023616.1)". Lineage: Eukaryota; Metazoa; Chordata; Mammalia; Artiodactyla; Suidae. The record is from RNAcentral.